GUCUUAACUAACAUCUUUUGAUUCAGUUGUUUUUCUUUUAACCGAAUAUCUGAGAAUACAUAGUAUGCUCUAUGAUAUGAUUAUAUGGAUUUAAAUGGUAGAAUAUCCAAGGUUCAAUGACCGCCGCCUUGACUACAAAAAGUGACCUAUGUACGGAGUACAGUAGUGGCUACGCCGAUUCUUACCCAAUGUCAGGGUGGCGACUGUGAAGACGGGAUGGAUCCAGAGGGACUCCGUUAGCGGUACGACGGUGGUGCGCGGAUCGCGUAGCCAGUACCAGGCGCUGAUGGCGGUGCACAUGGACAUGGCGGAGAGGACAACUGCAAGAAGCUCUAUGGUUAUUACGGGCUGUACUGCUCGCUGGUGUUCUCAUUACACGGAUGCAACUUACUGCGCCAGCGGAACGUCGAGGGACGGUACGAUGAAACCACUUCGGUGAGGCGCCGCUCGAAGGCCUUGAGAUCUGCAGAGGAGCGAGGAAAAGAAACCCAGUUAUGCACUGAUAACGGGCUACGUUACUCAACACUAAGAAGCAGGGUCGUAACAAAGGGGGAAGGGGGGUAAAAGCCAUUUGUUUAUUUCCUCCUCUCAGUAUAAAAUGGUU
Molecule: long non-coding RNA, 604 nt
Organism: Drosophila sechellia
Lineage: Eukaryota; Metazoa; Arthropoda; Insecta; Diptera; Drosophilidae
Exons: 3
Source: RefSeq, a predicted model, not a curated record